Molecule: ribosomal RNA, 634 nt
Filed under: uncultured soil bacterium
Lineage: Bacteria
Description: bacterial SSU rRNA
Rfam family: Bacterial small subunit ribosomal RNA
Source: RNAcentral
AGCUAAUACCGCAUAAUGCAGCGGCUCGACAUCGAGACAGUUGUUAAAGCGGGGGAUCGUAAGACCUCGCGCCUGAAGAGAAGCCUGCGGCAGAUUAGCUAGUUGGUAGGGUAAUGGCCUACCAAGGCGACGAUCUGUAACCGGCCUGAGAGGGCGGUCGGUCACACUGACACUGACAUACGGGUCAGACUCCUACGGGAGGCAGCAGUCGGGAAUUUUGGGCAAUGGGCGAAAGCCUGACCCAGCAACGCCGCGUGAAGGAUGAAAUUUUUCGGAAUGUAAACUUCGCAAGAACGGGAAGAAUAAGUAGAAGAUAAUACCUUCUAUGAUGACGGUACCGUUUGUAAGCUCCGGCUAACUCCGUGCCAGCAGCCGCGGUAAUACGGGGGGAGCAAGCGUUGUUCGGAUUUACUGGGCGUAAAGGGCGCGUAGGCGGUCGUGACAAGUCACUUGUGAAAUCUCCGGGCUUAACUCGGAACGGUCAAGUGAUACUGUCGGACUAGAGUACAGAAGGGGCAACUGGAAUUCUCGGUGUAGCGGUGAAAUGCGUAGAUAUCGAGAGGAACACCUGCGGCGAAGGCGGGUUGCUGGGCUGAUACUGACGCUUGAGGCGCGAAAGCCAGGGGAGCGAACG